AAAACUUUCAACAACGGAUCUCUUGGUUCUGGCAUCGAUGAAGAACGCAGCGAAAUGCGAUAAGUAAUGCGAAUUGCAGAUACCGCGAGUCAUUGAAUCUUUGAACGCACAUUGCGCCCUUUGGUAUUCCGAAGGGCAUGCCUGUUCGAGCGUCAUU
RNAcentral lists this ribosomal RNA (157 nucleotides) under Anthracothecium nanum. RNAcentral describes it as "5.8S ribosomal RNA". It matches the Rfam family "5.8S ribosomal RNA". Rfam says of the family: 5.8S ribosomal RNA (5.8S rRNA) is a component of the large subunit of the eukaryotic ribosome. It is transcribed by RNA polymerase I as part of the 45S precursor that also contains 18S and 28S rRNA. Lineage: Eukaryota; Fungi; Ascomycota; Eurotiomycetes; Pyrenulales; Pyrenulaceae. The record is from RNAcentral.